RNAcentral lists this ribosomal RNA (609 nucleotides) under uncultured bacterium. RNAcentral describes it as "bacterial SSU rRNA". It matches the Rfam family "Bacterial small subunit ribosomal RNA", at positions 338 to 946 of the family's 1533-position model. The record is from RNAcentral.
CCUACGGGAGGCAGCAGUAAGGAAUAUUGGUCAAUGGACGCAAGUCUGAACCAGCCAUGCCGCGUGAAGGAUGAAGGUCCUCUGGAUUGUAAACUUCUUUUAUAGGGGACGAAAAAAGGGAAUUCUUUCUCGUCUGACGGUACCCUAGGAAUAAGCACCGGCUAACUCCGUGCCAGCAGCCGCGGUAAUACGGAGGGUGCAAGCGUUAUCCGGAUUUACUGGGUUUAAAGGGUGCGUAGGUGGGUCUGUAAGUCAGUGGUGAAAUCUCCGGGCUUAACCCGGAAACUGCCAUUGAUACUAUAGGUCUUGAAUACUCUGGAGGUAAGCGGAAUAUGUCAUGUAGCGGUGAAAUGCUUAGAUAUGACAUAGAACACCAAUUGCGAAGGCAGCUUACUACGGGGUCAUUGACACUGAGGCACGAAAGCGUGGGGAUCAAACAGGAUUAGAUACCCUGGUAGUCCACGCCCUAAACGAUGGAUACUCGACAUCAGCGAUACACUGUUGGUGUCUGAGCGAAAGCAUUAAGUAUCCCACCUGGGAAGUACGAUCGCAAGAUUGAAACUCAAAGGAAUUGACCGGNNGAGAGNGCGAGACGACGACGAGGAGAGG